GAUGAACGCUAGCUACAGGCUUAACACAUGCAAGUCGCGGGGCAGCAUGGGGGUUGCUUGCAAUCCCCGAUGGCGACCGGCGCACGGGUGAGUAACGCGUAUCCAACCUGCCCUUCACCACGGGAUAACCCGGCGAAAGUCGGACUAAUACCGUAUGUUGUCCAUUGACGGCAUCCGAUUUGGACGAAAGGCUGGGCGGUGAGGGAUGGGGAUGCGUCCGAUUAGCCAGACGGCGGGGUAACGGCCCACCGUGGCUACGAUCGGUAGGGGUUCUGAGAGGAAGGUCCCCCACACUGGAACUGAGACACGGUCCAGACUCCUACGGGAGGCAGCAGUGAGGAAUAUUGGUCAAUGGGUGUAAGCCUGAACCAGCCAAGUAGCGUGCAGGAUGACGGCCCUAUGGGUUGUAAACUGCUUUUAUGCGGGGAUAAAGUGGCCCACGUGUGGGCUUUUGCAGGUACCGCAUGAAUAAGGACCGGCUAAUUCCGUG
RNAcentral lists this ribosomal RNA (490 nucleotides) under uncultured bacterium. Its description in RNAcentral is "partial 16S ribosomal RNA". It matches the Rfam family "Bacterial small subunit ribosomal RNA", at positions 28 to 507 of the family's 1533-position model. The record is from RNAcentral.